CCUACGGGAGGCAGCAGUGAGGAAUAUUGGUCAAUGGGCUUACGCCUGAACCAGCCAAGUCGCGUGAGGGAAGACUGCCCUAUGGGUUGUAAACCUCUUUUGUCAGGGAGCAACGCCGGCUACGUGUAGCCGGACUGAGAGUACCUGAAGAAACAGCAUCGGCUAACUCCGUUCCAGCAGCCGCGGUAAUACGGAGGAUGCGGGCGUUAUCCGGAUUUAUUGGGUUUGCAGGGUGCGUGGGGGGAAUGCCAAGUCAGCGGUAAAACCGCGGGGCUCACCCCGGCUCCGCCGUUCAAACUGGCGUUCUUGAGUGGGCGAGAAGUAUGCGGAAUGCGUGGUGUAGCGGUGAAAUGCAUAGAUAUCACGCAGAACUCCGGUUGCGAAGGCAGCAUACCGGCGCCCAACUGACGCUGAAGCACGAAAGCGUGGGUAGCGAACAGGAUUAGAUACCCUGGUAGUC
RNAcentral lists this ribosomal RNA (460 nucleotides) under uncultured bacterium. Its description in RNAcentral is "partial 16S ribosomal RNA". It matches the Rfam family "Bacterial small subunit ribosomal RNA", at positions 338 to 795 of the family's 1533-position model. The record is from RNAcentral.